UGCAGAAAUAUUUCCUUUUUCACAUCCUUAUUCCUCUAGUAAGUGGGGUUCUCCAUUUACAACAUGCUCACUCUUUUUUUGAUUUUCUUAAGCUGGAAGUUAGUGGCUAUAAUCACAAGUUGCAGGUAUUAUUGGAUACCAUCCUGAAAGCAAUGGCAGAUUUUACAGUGAAGCCAGAAAGAUUUUCUGUGAUCAAGGAGAAGUUGACAAAAAGUUAUCAGAAUUUCAAGUUUGAUGAGCCAAGAUAUCAUGCCUCAUAUUAUCGCUCUUUAAUGUUAAUGACCAUUCAUGGCCUUGGGAGGAAGAUCUAGAAAUACUUGAGACUUUUCAGCCUGAAGACCUUUCUCGAUUUGCACCUACAAUGCUUUCGAGAGCAUUCUUAGAGUGUUACAUAGCAGAUCCAUCAAGAUGACAUUACUUUGAACGUACAACUUCAGCUUUUGGCUUUUAUUGCAAGGCAUGAAGCCUUCUCAGUAGUGACUGAGCAAA
This is a long non-coding RNA of Eucalyptus grandis, 489 nucleotides long. RefSeq lists it as uncharacterized. The record is from RefSeq and is a predicted model, not a curated record. The transcript has 3 exons. Lineage: Eukaryota; Viridiplantae; Streptophyta; Magnoliopsida; Myrtales; Myrtaceae.